This 400-nucleotide ribosomal RNA is filed under the name uncultured bacterium. RNAcentral's name for it is "bacterial SSU rRNA". It matches the Rfam family "Bacterial small subunit ribosomal RNA", at positions 356 to 773 of the family's 1533-position model. The record is from RNAcentral.
GGGGAAUAUUGCACAAUGGAGGAAACUCUGAUGCAGCGACGCCGCGUGAGGGAAGAAGGUCUUCGGAUUGUAAACCUCUGUCUUUGGGGACGAUAAUGACGGUACCCAAGGAGGAAGCCACGGCUAACUACGUGCCAGCAGCCGCGGUAAAACGUAGGUGGCAAGCGUUGUCCGGAAUUACUGGGUGUAAAGGGAGCGCAGGCGGAAAGGUAAGUUGGGAGUGAAAACUAUGGGCUCAACCCAUAAAUUGCUUUCAAAACUAUUUUUCUUGAGUGGUGUAGAGGUAGGCGGAAUUCCCGGUGUAGCGGUGGAAUGCGUAGAUAUCGGGAGGAACACCAGUGGCGAAGGCGGCCUACUGGGCACUAACUGACGCUGAGGCUCGAAAGCAUGGGUAGCAAAC